GAUGAACGCUGGCGGCGUGCCUAAUACAUGCAAGUCGAGCGAACGGACGAGAAGCUUGCUUCUCUGAUGUUAGCGGCGGACGGGUGAGUAACACGUGGAUAACCUACCUAUAAGACUGGGAUAACUUCGGGAAACCGGAGCUAAUACCGGAUGAUAUUUUGAACCGCAUGGUUCAAAAGUGAAAGACGGUCUUGCUGUCACUUAUAGCUGGAUCCGCGCUGCAUUAGCUAGUUGGUAAGGUAACGGCUUACCAAGGCAACGAUGCAUAGCCGACCGGAGGGGGGGAUCGGCCACACGGGAACUGAGACGCGGUCCAGACUCCUACGGGAGGCCGCAGUAGGGAAUCUGCCGCAAUGGGCGAAAGCCUGACGGAGCAACGCCGCGUGAGUGAUGAAGGUCUUCGGAUCGUAAAACUCUGUUAUUAGGGAAGAACAUAUGUGUAAGUAACUGUGCACAUCUUGACGGUACCUAAUCAGAAAGCCACGGCUAACUACGUG
Molecule: ribosomal RNA, 497 nt
Filed under: uncultured bacterium
Lineage: Bacteria
Description: partial 16S ribosomal RNA
Rfam family: Bacterial small subunit ribosomal RNA
Source: RNAcentral